Molecule: long non-coding RNA, 2965 nt
Organism: Nilaparvata lugens (brown planthopper)
Lineage: Eukaryota; Metazoa; Arthropoda; Insecta; Hemiptera; Delphacidae
Exons: 2
Source: RefSeq, a predicted model, not a curated record
CAAUCUGUUGUUUAUUAUGUUUGCAAUUCAUAAAAGAGUAGCCUACAUUUUACAUUUCAUUUGGAAAUGAGAAUGAGUUAUAGGAUGGUACCAUGAAUAUCUCCUUUCGAAUGUUCUGUAUACUGUAUUAUUUGCAUUUUUACAUGUUAUACAUUUCUUGCUGAGGGUGUGCCCAAAUAAGCUUCAGGCUUGUGCGUGGGUAUGGGAAGGACGAUUGUGAUUGGAUCUACAGCUUCAGGUCGGCUCCGAACCACCAGAAAGCAAUUAUCAUAUUAAUAACACUUCACUUUUAAAAAUGAAACUACUUCCCGCUUUGUAUUAGGAAAAUACAUAUCAAACAUCAUUAGGUUAGAAAAUGUCUUAUAUUAUUUAUCAUAAUUCAUCUUUUUAUUCUAUUAAUAAAAUUCGCAGAACAAUUUUGAAAAUGAAAAUACUAUUUAUUAGGCGGAGUUAAGACCACUAUUUUAUUGUUUGAUUUAAAAGGUAAAAUGUCUUUUAACAUUACCAUAUUAAUUUAAAAAAAUAUAUAAUAUCAGUUGAGCUUUCCUCUUCCAAUAACAAUAGAUUAUAAUGAAUACAUUCUGCCCAUACUUUUUAUUUAAAUAUGAAGUUAAUACAUACUUUUGAAAUUCAAAAGUCAAUUGGCCUAAGGCGAAUUCUAAAUUUAUUCCAUAUCAUACAGAGGCUAUAGGUAGGCAGGGAAAGUUAACUAUACUUCAAUAAAACAUAGUCUUAUCAAAUAAGCAAUCUUAUAUUAUUCUAAAGCUGUUAACAUAUUGAAAUUGUGUAUGAGAUAUUAGAAUUGUCUAUGGAGAGAGUUUUAAGUGUUGUAUAUGAUAAGAUGUACAUGAUAUUUAAUACGUUGUUGUAUAGAUUUCAGCCAAAGAUUUGGUGGUUUAAUCAUAUCAUAUUAAUAGAUUCAUUAAUUGAUAUAUCCUAAUUUUAAGGGUUGAUGUCCUUAAAACUGGUUUUAGAUGUUUGUAAAAUAUGUACCCCUUUUCCCUAGUUGUUAUUGGUGUUUGAAAUUGGCCUACUCUAUUGUACACUGUUGUAAGGUUUAAAAUGUUUUUCGAGAUUUUAAUUUAAAUUUAAAGUGAACAGGUAUUAUUUAUACUUUGUUUCACUUUCCAAAUCAUCCUGGUAUCAAUUUUUAAACAUUUUUAACUUGAUAAUUUUUAACAAAAGUCUUUUUCUAAACUGAGCAAAUGAAAAAUAAAAUUGAAAGCCAAUGGGAGUUCAUGAAGACUUUUCAAAUGUGGUUUGGCCAACUGUAGACUAAGAAACGUUUCAAAUAUCUGUGAUCUGUUAUCAGUUUUUUUAAUCUAAUUGUUAUGUUACCUUGGUAAAUCUGAUCAAUAUCAAUAAAAUUAAUUCCAUCAUCAUUCUGGGACCAAUUUGAAUUGCAAUGAAAUUAAUUAAUUGAAUUAUUAGUUACCCAAGUAUACAGUACAGUACUAUAUAAUUCAUUUCUCGAGAAAUCUUUGACCCGUUGUUGAUCAGCUUCAAAUGUUACAAGUAGUUGAGUUUUAAAUUUGAUUUUAAUACAUCUUUCCAUUAUGCUCCAUUCAUAAUUAUUAGAUGUUUUAUGUCCUACUAUUUGAAUUCAAUGAAUUCAUUGUAAUUUGUUGAAUAUUUAUAUGAAAAUAAUAUUGAAAUAGAAUAUUAAUUCGCAAUAAUACUGGCCUAGUACUGAACAUUUUAAUAUAAUGCAUAUUAAUAUUAUUAAACAUUUUAGACCUUCAUUUGAAGCCUAUUCUCAAGUUUUGUAUUGAUUGCAGUAGGCUAAUGUUAUGUAAUGGGGAAUGCAAACCUAUUCAACAAACUUCUAUUCAGCAAUAUAAUUUCCGUUUUUCAACUAUUAUUUAUUUAUUUGUGGAUACAAUCACAAAUCAUAUAAAUAUAAUUGGGAAGGAGCAACAGGCUUGGCCCAAAACUAUUCCAUUCCCAAAUUUGGUUGUGAAAUGUUCAAAAAUUAUGACGGUACUACAGUUUAAUAUUUUGAAUAAUAGUUAUUAAAAACUAGUACUCACGUGAAGCGCUUUCGGAUUUUAAAAAUCCAUUUUCAACACUGAAAAGUGUUAUUUUUCGAAAUAUUAGGUAGACUGUAGUGUCGUCAUAAUAGUUCAAAAACGGAUUAUUAACUAGCAGUUCGUCAUGGAUAGCAAAAUAGAUGACUAAUAUAAUUUCUCCUACACCUAAAAUCAAUCGUAUAAUCGAUGUUAUAAAAUUAACAAUUAAUAAAUGUUCAAUCAAACUGUAUUUUAUUAUUAUGUUUGAUGUAUUUAUCUUUUUCAAUUUGUUUAAAUUUAGGCCUAUGUACCAAAAUGUUGUUGAUUGGUCAAAAAGUGGUUGAAUGACAAACAAAAUGAGGCUAAUACACAGAUUACAUACAGCAGUUCUGUAAAGUUGUGAUAGCUAUCAAAAUUUCAUAAAUGUUUAUUAAAAUUUUGUUGAAAACGUUCAAUUUCCAUUUCUCACAUAAUAUGCCUAUUAAUUUUCAAAUAGAAUGAACAAGAGGUAAAUGAUGAAUGUACUUACUUGAUUUACUUAUGAAUCUAAAGUAAUAAAUAUGAAAAUAAUAUAUGGUAAACGUUGUGUAGUUUGUAAACUUCAUAGCAAUAUCGAGAUUCUAUGUAUAAGUCUACUGAUGCGUAUAAUUUAGUUGUAUUAACUAUGUAUGGAAAAGACUGAAUUUAUAUUGAGCAUUCACUUCUUUGAUUCUUUAUUUUUAUCAUUAUUAAUCAUUGGUUAAUUUUACCCAGUAUUCUGUCAUAGCAGAUGCAGCUGCUAUAAUAACAUUCAUUUUUCAUCAUGGAAUGUAUUGUUUGUAUAGUUUGUUAUUAUUCAAUAUUUCUCUAAUUUUACUUACACGUUGAUUUAAGUGUUGCUAUUUGUACAGUAUCGAAUUAUACAGGAAAUUGAUGGUUUUUGUGUAAAAACGUCGAAUAAACCAAAUUUCAAAUUA